GACGAACGCUGGCGGCGUGCUUAACACAUGCAAGUCGAACGGAAAGGCCCUUCGGGGUACUCGAGUGGCGAACGGGUGAGUAACACGUGGGUGAUCUUCCCUGCACUUUGGGAUAAGCCUGGGAAACUGGGUCUAAUACCGAAUAGGACCACGCGCUUCAUGGUGUGUGGUGGAAAGCUUUUGCGGUGUGGGAUGGGCCCGCGGCCUAUCAGCUUGUUGGUGGGGGAAUGGCCUACCAAGGCGACGCCGGGUAGCCGGCCUGAGAGGGUGACCGGCCACACUGGGACUGAGAUACGGCCCAGACUCCUACGGGAGGCAGCAGUGGGGAAUAUUGCACAAUGGGCGCAAGCCUGAUGCAGCGACGCCGCGUGAGGGAUGACGGCCUUCGGGUUGUAAACCUCUUUCAAUAGGGACGAAGCGCGAGUGACGGUACCUAUAGAAGAAGCACCGGCCAACUACGUG
RNAcentral lists this ribosomal RNA (462 nucleotides) under uncultured bacterium. RNAcentral's name for it is "partial 16S ribosomal RNA". It matches the Rfam family "Bacterial small subunit ribosomal RNA", at positions 28 to 507 of the family's 1533-position model. The record is from RNAcentral.